Molecule: long non-coding RNA, 4475 nt
Filed under: Chlamydomonas reinhardtii
Lineage: Eukaryota; Viridiplantae; Chlorophyta; Chlorophyceae; Chlamydomonadales; Chlamydomonadaceae
Description: long non-coding RNA (CREI_LNC000726)
Source: RNAcentral
CAGAACUCGAUUCUGCUGCUAGCGCAAUUCUUUCGCUUGAUGGAGUUUCCUCGCGGUGCCCGGGAGGGAUUCGCGCUAGAAGCUGCUAGUUCGUGAUAGUGGUGGUGCUUGCCGCAGCGUUCAUGCGCAUGCGGUGGAAAUCGAGAGAGGUCGCGAACAGCCCUAGAAAUGCUCUUCUUUGCCGUCGAUAAGCUCAGGUGCUCGUAGCUAAGCAGUGGGCGUAAAAGCUGUUUGCGGGAUGUCUUUGCAUCUGUUGAUUGUGCAAUAUGAGCACAGCGCGAGAAGCUUUUAUCCGGUGGCGGGGACAGGGUCUCGGGCGCCCAUGCAGGCGACACGCGCCUAAUCCCGAGCCUCCCUCCUCGCCUUUACCUUGUCCCUGGACCCGCGCCAUCCGUGCCCCGCUGUUCACUUCCCUCGUUUCAUACCAGUUCCCCUCCCCUGCGUAGGCCGGUAACCCCUGAUCCCGCCGCUGCCAGGGAUGCAGCUGUGCAGGAUGAGGUUGACGGCUGUGGAUUGCAUUGGUUACAAGAGGGACCUGCUGACGCAGUUCACGAGCCAGUGACGUGUGGAAGUUGGUGUAGGUUGGCGGUGAUCCAGCGGGGUGGGUGCCGAUGUGCUAUAGUGGGCGCGAGGCUGUACACGUCAGGACCUGGCGAGUGUACUGCUAAAGCUGACUUUGUGAUGGCCCCCAAGCGUAGGUGAGGUAGGCGCACGGUGGUGACAAGGCAUGCGGCCAGUGGAACUGCCUUACAGUUACAGCCCGCCCAAGCGCGGUUGUUGCCCUGCCAUGAUUUCCGUGGAGUCUCUAGCUCCGGCAGGGACGGUCCCCAUCAGUUCCCGUAGUGGACCAUGCAUCCAGCCGCCCACACGUGCUCUCCGUUCGUCACAUACAGUACUCGAACUCCAAUGUCCACAGAGCGUGUGCGCGAAGUCCACACGCCACACACGCAAGUGGCAGCCGCCCGUCCUUGCACAGCAAGCAUCUCCGCGCACGGUCGCACGCUUCACUAGCCCCAACGAACCGCCUACCACAAAUCAAGUCACACCCACCUCAGCAUUAGGAGUGCACAUCCGCCUGUCGAAUGUCGGAUGAUGAUAGGGCAACAAGUAGGUCUAGAGAAAUGAAAGCUAGUAGGUCUACUGCACCCAUGCAUGGAUGGAAAGAAUCAAUGGACCUUUGGAUAUAGGAUCCGGCCUUCUCAAGGGUCCUCGCGCAUUUACUAAAGAGCCAAGGGGUCUAGUAUGUAAGAAGCAAUGCCAGUCUCAAGUCAAGCACACUGCUGCCGCUUCCUGGCAUCUGGAAUGCCGGAAGGGUCGGAGGAACUUGCACCCACAGAACGUACACGUCGUGUCACUGACAGCCCACUCGAGUCUUGUAAACAGUAGAAAUCGUGCCCGCUCCUGCAGCGAGCCAAGAUACGGUAACCUCGAUACUUCUUUGUGUCUCACCGCGGUACGCGCACAGACAUUAAUCUGCGGGCUCCCUCUCCGCACUCCUUCUGUCACUCCCGUGCGUCAGGUCUUCUCCGACGUCGCCUCCACUCCAUCUCCUACGUCCCAUGACUCACCUGUAGCCCCAGGCAGCCCUGCGUCCAUUGGCACAGCGCCCCUCGCCACCUGCCACCCUCUCGCUCAGCAAAUAAACGCACGCGCGAUAGCAAAACACCAGCAGUCCGUAGUAUGGCCAAGGGGGGCUGCCGGUUCCCCGGUCCCAUACAGUCACACAUACAUCUUAUUAAGAAAAAUCAGCAAGGUUUAUUUGGCGAGUCUCAGUAGAGAAAUAGACAUCCAUACAUCACCCAAUGCGCAUGGCAAUAUCGCACAGAGUGCUUGCUUGCGCAAGCAAUCCAGCAUCAAGUACGGCCUUUGACACUCCCGCUCGCUCACAUACGGUGUAAUAUCAGUACAGCACGGCAACACUCGCGCGAAUCAGUCCUGUGUCCUGCGGUAAACGCCGACUACCGUAGCACGCCCUGCUGUCGUGCUGACAAUGAGAAAUGUGCGGCGGCACAGCCCUGCUGGUUCACUUGAUAGUGAAUGGGCCCGAUCAGUAGCUAGUAGCGGCGAUUUGCCUAGCUGUCUAUACUUGCACGCAUACGCUGCGGGUGUGCCUCACAUACCAUAAUACCCAGUGCUGCUUCUUUCGCAUUUAACACACGCUCAGCAUGCCCUGCUGGCUCACUUCGAUACUGUGCCAUCCACACACGUACGUGUGACGAGCCCCUCUUGCGAACGGCCGUCGGCACCACAGCUGCGGCGGCUGCGGCUGCGGCUGCUGCUGCUCCUGCUGCUGCUACUGCUACUGCUGCAUCUUCAAGUGGCGAAGGCAGCAAGCCGCUGGCUGCUGGGCUCAUGCAGCUGACGGCGUAACACGGAAGCCAAACGGAACGGAGCGGCCCUUGCCGCUACCAGGCCGCCACCGCUGCCGGUGGCGGGAAGCAGCCGCACGCGCGCUCCAACGCGGCAAACUCCUCCAGCUCCCGCUCCUGCUCGGCCCACGCCGCCGCCGCCAGCUCGAUCGCCAGGCGCAGGCGCGAGGGCAUCACAGCUGACUGCCACUCAUCACCCUGCUGCACUGCCGCGAUUGGCGGAACGACACAGCUGCCCAUGCUGCUGCCGGCGGCGGUGCAGGCCUCCUUGUCAAUGCUCUGCCGCUCCGCUGCCACCUCCACCGCCUCCACCUGCUGCGGCGUCUCACUGCCUGCCGCCGCCGCCACCCAGACCAGACUGCAGCUGCUGGCGCUGCGGCUGGUGCGGGCGCUGUCCGGCACGGCGCAGCAGCACGAGCUGAGCGGCGAGUCAGGCGCGUCCGGCCGCUCAGUGACAACGGCCACCUCCUGCUCCGCUUCGGCCGCCGCCGGCACGCACUCGCCCUGGGCCUCUGCUUUCCCCAUCGCCGCCAGCUCCGCCGCCAUCCAGGGCGACAGCGAGGCGAGGUAGGCGCCGAAAUCGUCGGCCUCCUCCUCCUCGACGUCAUCCGCCCAGCGGCGGCCGCUGGGGGUGCCGCCGGUGCCGCUGGCAGAUCCCGCCGCCGCCUGCUCCGCCAGACCCUCCUUCAACCAAUCUGCAAGCGACCCGAGGUCGAGCUCCUCCUCCUCCUCCGCCUCCUCGUGCGCCUCGACUUCAUCCGCCCAGCUACCGCUCGCGCCACCGCUGCUGCUAAUGCUGGCGCGAGGAGCAAUGCUGCUGCUGCUACUGCUGCUGCUGCUGCCGUCAGACUCUGACGCUGCCGCGGGCGCGGCCGGUGCGGCUUCCGCCUGCUGCUGCUCGGCCGCCGCGAGCUCCGCCAGUCCCUGCUUCACCCAGGGCGUCUGCUCAAAGAGGUCGCUCAGGUCGAGUCCGUCAGCCUCAUCCUCAUCAUCAUCGCCCCAUCGCGGCGUGGUCGAGCUGCGGUCGACGGUGGAGGUGGAGAUGGGGCUGGCAGCGGCGGCGGGCUUGGUCGGGGCGGCGGGCUUGGUCGGAGCCGCGAGCUUGGGCACCUUGGGCAGGCCGGGCGGCUUCUGCAGGCGCCAGUGGUUGUCGUAGGCAUGGCAAAGCUGGCAGGGGGCGCUCCUGCAGCCAGCAGAUAGGCUGGCAUAGCACCAGCGGAUGCAGGACUUGUGGGGAAAGCAGCAGGCGCUGGGGCCGGGCUCCUGCUGCUCCUGCUGGUGGGCGGCGGCGGAGGGCUCGCUCUCAUCAGAGCCAUGGCCUUGGCUGCGGGGCGUGUGGCGCCAGGCGUCCUGUGCAAACGAGAUCGGGGGAAAGGAUAGAUGGGGGCGGACAAGCCGUGAGUGCACGGGACGAGGACAAGGGUCGGGGCGCAGAGGGCGGGAGCAAGGGCCGGGGGUCAGGGGCUCGAGCCCCGGCAAAAAAAUCAGGCACACACCGGAAAGGCACGCGCUUUCGGUCAAAGCUGUUGACCGACGCAUUUUACGAGACAAUACAUGCAGCAAUAUGCAGCCAGUGUGGCCGCAGCAGCGCAAGAAGGAAGGCCGAGGAAGCCGAGCGCACUACUGGCCCGAAAUCUGCAACGCUAUAUAGCCCGCAUCCGAAGCCUAAUGCUUUGCAUGUGGCAUCAGAUACCCAUUGCAGCUGCUCAAGGCUCAAAAUGGCCGUGCCCGAACAUGAAUGGUGCUCACCUGCAUCGGUCGGCUCGGCUCGAAGUCAAGCCCCGGUGCACUUGCAAUUGACCGUGAUGUGGCCAUAGUAGCUCUUGACCGCACCAAGCACUCUUCGCGCGCAGAACUCGAUUCUGCUGCUAGCGCAAUUCUUUCGCUUGAUGGAGUUUCCUCGCGGUGCCCGGGAGGGAUUCGCGCUAGAAGCUGCUAGUUCGUGAUAGUGGUGGUGCUUGCCGCAGCGUUCAUGCGCAUGCGGUGGAAAUCGAGAGAGGUCGCGAACAGCCCUAGAAAUGCUCUUCUUUGCCGUCGAUAAGCUCAGGUGCUCGUAGCUAAGCAGUGGGCGUAAAAGCUGUUUGCGAGAUGUCUUUGCAUCUGUUG